GAUCUCCUUUCCUUUGAAAAAUGGGUCCUUUAAGCUUCGUAACGCGCCUCCUCUCACUCUCAAGACCCUCUCCACCCGUGAACCCAAAGGUAAUGUCUUACUCUUUGUUGGAGUUUUUUUAAUACUGUUUGAAAUGGUGGGUUUUUAUUUGAUCUGAUACUGCUUUACUAUGUUAAUCGGGUUUAUGUUUUUCGGAUGUUAUUUCAUAUUUCUUGUGGCGUAUCCAGUGAAGUUUGAUUGAUUGGUUACCCAGAAAUUUGAGGAAAGAAAACAGGCAAAAAUUUUCCGGGAAUUUGUAAAAUCUAGCUUUAACCAAUCAAAAGGCGUUUGUGUGCAUCUGUGUGUUAAAAUAUUCGGUUGGUCGUAGUUGUGGCAACUAGCGGCCAAGUCUAGGAAAUAGUUUAACUUUGAAGAUUUGGUGCUUUCAAACGAGUGUUAAAACGUUGGAUAUGAACCCUCAACAUUGGUUAUUUACUUUUUCUUUAAUAGGGUGGUUAUUUAGAUAUUCUCUGUCUCUUUAUGGCUUUGGCUGGAUGAAUCUGACACUGGAUCUGCAAAAGAGAAACGAUAGAAGAGCCUUUUGACUGAUUUUAUUAAAUUUGGAGAUGUGUAGAUUCAAACUAAAUUCCAUUCGGAUUUGUUGCUAUGUAUCAUGGUAGAUUAGAUCUCGGAAAUUUUCAGUGUAAAGUUUACGACUAUAUAAUUAUAUGUGAGUUUUAUGUUUUCAAAGCUGAUACUUUCGCUAAAAUUAACUUGAUCUAUCAGCCAAAAAACUUGUUUGUAGCGGUGCCAUGCAACAUAAAAUCUUUACUGCUGGUGCUGUGGAUAGAAGAAAGGGUACUUUGAAAAGAUGAGAUUGUUUUGUAAUGUAUCGUAGUGGUCGAACCAACUGAGAUAUUACCAACAGUUUGGAAUUUAGCUUUUGUAUUCAGGAAUUGGGAUGUCAAUCUAUUUUCUAAGCUUUAGAAGCUGUAAGAAACGACUAACAGAAUUGAACAUGGUGUCUCACUGUCUCUUAGAGCUGCAGUGGUUACUAAAGACACAUGGGAGAAAUUGAUAUUGAACAGUGAUACCCCUGUUCUAGUCGAAUUUUAUGCAAGCUGGUGCGGCCCCU
Durio zibethinus is the source of this 1114-nucleotide non-coding RNA. Lineage: Eukaryota; Viridiplantae; Streptophyta; Magnoliopsida; Malvales; Malvaceae. The record is from RefSeq and is a predicted model, not a curated record.